AACGAACGCUGGCGGCAUGCCUAACACAUGCAAGUCGAACGAGACCUUCGGGUCUAGUGGCGCACGGGUGCGUAACGCGUGGGAACCUGCCCUUAGGUUCGGAAUAACUCCCCGAAAGGGGUGCUAAUACCGGAUAAUGUCUUCGGACCAAAGAUUUAUCGCCUUUGGAUGGGCCCGCGUUGGAUUAGCUAGUUGGUAGGGUAAAAGCCUACCAAGGCGACGAUCCAUAGCUGGUCUGAGAGGAUGAUCAGCCACACUGGGACUGAGACACGGCCCAGACUCCUACGGGAGGCAGCAGUGGGGAAUAUUGGACAAUGGGGGAAAGCCUGAUCCAGCAAUGCCGCGUGAGUGAUGAAGGCCUUAGGGUUGUAAAGCUCUUUUACCCGGGAUGAUAAUGACAGUACCGGGAGAAUAAGCUCCGGCUAACUCCGUG
RNAcentral lists this ribosomal RNA (433 nucleotides) under uncultured bacterium. RNAcentral's name for it is "partial 16S ribosomal RNA". It matches the Rfam family "Bacterial small subunit ribosomal RNA", at positions 29 to 507 of the family's 1533-position model. The record is from RNAcentral.